CAAACGGCUGCUGCUCAUUUAGAGUGAUGGAACCGUAAGGGUCGAGUUACGGGCAUAUCGGGGGUGUACUCGGCGUCUGCUCGCUGCAAGCCCUGCGACCCGCGGCAGCCUGAUCCUGCUCCGUGUGACAGAAGCAGCCGUUCAGUGGCUCCGGAGCCG
Molecule: long non-coding RNA, 159 nt
Filed under: Serinus canaria (Common canary)
Lineage: Eukaryota; Metazoa; Chordata; Aves; Passeriformes; Fringillidae
Description: lncRNA (ENSSCAG00000011225.1)
Source: RNAcentral